UACGAAGGGGGCUAGCGUUGCUCGGAAUUACUGGGCGUAAAGCGCACGUAGGCGGCUUUCUAAGUCGGGGGUGAAAUCCUGGAGCUCAACUCCAGAACUGCCUUCGAUACUGGAGAGCUUGAGUCCGGGAGAGGUGAGUGGAACUGCGAGUGUAGAGGUGAAAUUCGUAGAUAUUCGCAAGAACACCAGUGGCGAAGGCGGCUCACUGGCCCGGUACUGACGCUGAGGUGCGAAAGCGUGGGAGCAAACAGG
This 252-nucleotide ribosomal RNA is filed under the name uncultured bacterium. Its description in RNAcentral is "partial 16S ribosomal RNA". It matches the Rfam family "Bacterial small subunit ribosomal RNA", at positions 524 to 776 of the family's 1533-position model. The record is from RNAcentral.